Molecule: ribosomal RNA, 495 nt
Filed under: uncultured bacterium
Lineage: Bacteria
Description: partial 16S ribosomal RNA
Rfam family: Bacterial small subunit ribosomal RNA
Source: RNAcentral
UGACCGCUGGCGGCGUGCCUAAUACAUGCAAGUCGAGCGAACGGACGAGAAGCUUGCUUCUCUGAUGUUAGCGGCGGACGGGUGAGUAACACGUGGAUAACCUACCUAUAAGACUGGGAUAACUUCGGGAAACCGGAGCUAAUACCGGAUAAUAUUUUGAACCGCAUGGUUCAAAAGUGAAAGACGGUCUUGCUGUCACUUAUAGAUGGAUCCGCGCUGCAUUAGCUAGUUGGUAAGGUAACGGCUUACCAAGGCAACGAUGCAUAGCCGACCUGAGAGGGUGAUCGGCCACACUGGAACUGAGACACGGUCCAGACUCCUACGGGAGGCAGCAGUAGGGAAUCUUCCGCAAUGGGCGAAAGCCUGACGGAGCAACGCCGCGUGAGUGAUGAAGGUCUUCGGAUCGUAAAACUCUGUUAUUAGGGAAGAACAUAUGUGUAAGUAACUGUGCACAUCUUGACGGUACCUAAUCAGAAAGCCACGGCUAACUACGUG